Molecule: long non-coding RNA, 669 nt
Organism: Helianthus annuus (common sunflower)
Lineage: Eukaryota; Viridiplantae; Streptophyta; Magnoliopsida; Asterales; Asteraceae
Exons: 4
Source: RefSeq, a predicted model, not a curated record
CACCCAAGUCACCUCACACCCCCUCAUCACCUCUGUUUCUCUCUCUCUGAUGAUUACCAACGGGGAUGAUGCCGGCCGGUUACUCUCUCCCUCAAGAAACCUCCGACCGGCCAGGUGUGUCGGAUCACGGAGGAGCUCCGGCGGUUUGCAUAAAUGAUAAAACCCCCAUUGUAUUCAUGCCAGAAAAACUUGUGGUAUUGAAUUAAAUAUCCCGAAAGGCCAAAACACAAUCAGGUGGUCCCUUUGAUUUUACAUUAGUUACCCUUUUAUUUAUGCCAUAAUUGGUGGUUGGUAUGAGCAUCAGUUACCAUUAGGGUUUAUUACAACAACAACAUCCACCGGCGGCACUUGAUUGUAGUUAAGAUUUAAGAGCAUAUGGCAUUGUUGAGUCCUGUUUCAUCAUCAUGUUUGCCAAGAUUGUGCUCUCAAUUAGUAGCACAUGAUGCAGUUGUAGAUACAAAGUCUAGGGUUUGCUUAUCAAGUGCAUCAUCUCACCUUCAACGCAGUUUGAUUCAUAAAUGUUAUUUGGAUAAAAGAGAGUCACAUGGUUUCAAAGUUUUGGCUUCGGCUUCGGUUACAGCAGAGGUGACAGAGGUGAUGAGGGGGGUGUGAGGUGACUUGGGUGUUUUAGGGUUUCUUCAAAGAAAAUUGCAGAGAAAAAGUGAUGGU